GACGAACGCUGGCGGCGUGCUUAACACACGCAAGUCGAACGGUAAGGCCCUUCGGGGUACACGAGUGGCGAACGGGUGAGUAACACGUGGGUGAUCUGCCCUGCACUUCGGGAUAAGCCUGGGAAACUGGGUCUAAUACCGGAUAGGACCACUGCCUGCAUGGGUGGUGGUGGAAAGCUUUUGCGGUGUGGGAUGGGCCCGCGGCCUAUCAGCUUGUUGGUGGGGUGAUGGCCUACCAAGGCGACGACGGGGAGCCGGCCUGAGAGGGUGACCGGCCACACUGGGACUGAGAUACGGCCCAGACUCCUACGGGAGGCAGCAGUGGGGAAUAUUGCACAAUGGGCGCAAGCCUGAUGCAGCGACGCCGCGUGAGGGAUGACGGCCUUCGGGUUGUAAACCUCUUUCAGCACCGACGAAGCGCAAGUGACGGUAGUAGCAGAAGAAGGACCGGCCAACUACGUGCCAGCCGCCGCCGUAA
This 478-nucleotide ribosomal RNA is filed under the name uncultured bacterium. RNAcentral describes it as "partial 16S ribosomal RNA". It matches the Rfam family "Bacterial small subunit ribosomal RNA", at positions 28 to 523 of the family's 1533-position model. The record is from RNAcentral.